Molecule: long non-coding RNA, 38041 nt
Filed under: Phaseolus vulgaris (common bean)
Lineage: Eukaryota; Viridiplantae; Streptophyta; Magnoliopsida; Fabales; Fabaceae
Description: long non-coding RNA (PVUL_LNC003681)
Source: RNAcentral
GGAUUUCUUCCCAAAUCUUUCAUUAACAUGACAUCUCUUCAGAUGUUGGAUCUUUCUCAAAAUCACUUCAUGGGAAAGUUUGAUUCUAACAUUGCAACCCUUACAUCACUGGAACAUUUUGAUUUUACAGAAAACCAAUUUGAAGUGCCUGUUUCAUUUACACCAUUUGCCAAUCAUUCACACCUUAAGUUUGUCUAUGGUAAAGGCAACAAAGUCAAAUUGGACUCUCAACACAGUUUGCAAACUUGGAUUCCAAAAUUUCAGUUAGUGAGGCUUAGCUUGUCUUCAACCAUUGAGACUAGUUCUUUCCAGCUUCCCAAAUUUCUUCUUUAUCAAAAAUAUCUAACUAGUCUAGAUUUUAGUGGUUUGAAUUUGGAAGGAGGGUUUCCUCAUUGGUUGUUAGAAAACAACACAAAGUUGAUUGAAGUUGUUUUUAGAUAUUGUUCUUUGAAUGGUACUAUGCAAAUACCAUUGCAUCCCUCUCUUGAGUUACAGAGUAUUGAUGUGUCUAGCAAUACCAUAACUGGUGAAAUCCCAAGCGAGAACAUCAGUUUUAUUUAUCCAAAUUUGAGAUAUUUAGACAUGUCUAGAAACCACAUCCAAGGUUCAAUUUCUCGUGAGUUUGGCCGACUGAAUUUGUGUUUGUUGGAUCUUUCAGACAACCAAUUGUCAGGAAAAAUAUCAGAGGACAUAUUCGAAGCUUGGCACCAACUUGAUUUCUUGAAACUUUCAAAUAAUAAGUUGGAGGGACCCAUUUUUACAAUACCCACUAAUUUGAGGUCUUUAUUCUUGAAUGAUAACAACUUUAGUGGUAGACUUCCCAGGAACAUUUUUAACACAUCCAUCGUCUCAUUGGAUGUAAGCAAUAAUCAUUUGGUAGGAAAGGUUACAAGCCUUCUGAAUAAUUCAUCAGGAUUAUUGGAACUUCGUAUGUCCAAUAACCACUUUGAAGGAUUCAUUCCAUUAGAAUUAAUACAACUUGAAAAUCUAAAAUAUUUAGAUCUCUCCCAAAAUAAUUUUUCUGGUCUUGUACCAUCAUUUAUAAAUUCUUCUGUGAAAUUUAUCCAUUUAAGCAAUAAUCAUUUAGCAGGAUUGUCCAAAAAAAUGUUCACUGAAAACUCUCCUAUAGUGAUGUUGGACCUUAGUUACAACAAAAUAUCUGGUGGCAUUCAGGAUAUGAUUCAAGAUCUCAAUUAUUCAAAGUUGAAUUUUCUCCUUUUAAAAGGUAAUCACAUUACUGGGGAUAUACCUAAGCAAUUAUGUCAGUUGAUAAAGUUAACCAUGCUAGAUCUCUCAGACAAUAAACUUUUGGGAGAAAUUCCUCAUUGCUUGGGGACAAUGCCUUUUGAUAAUAACAACCUUGAUCCAUUCUUAAAAGCAUCCAAGGGAUAUUUUGUUGAAGAACAUAGUCUAAGACCAUCACAAUCAGAGCAUAAGAAAGAGAAAGCAAGUUUCACUUCGAAGAAAAGAAUUGAUACGUACACGGGAAGCAUCCUUGCUUAUAUGUCUGGAAUUGACUUAUCCAAUAAUAAAUUGAAGGGGAAUAUUCCUUAUGAGCUUGGAAACUUGACAAAAAUCCAAGCAUUGAACUUGUCUCAUAAUGAUUUGAUUGGACAAAUUCCAGAUUCCUUCUCGAAGUUGGUGCAAGCAGAGAGUUUAGAUCUUUCUUUUAAUAAGUUGAGUGGUGAAAUUCCUUCUAAACUCAAUAUUCUAACCUCACUUGAAGUAUUAAGUGUGGCACACAACAACUUAUCAGGCCCAAUACCUGAAUGGACAAAUCAAUUUGCCACAUUUGAUAAGAGUAGCUAUGAGGGUAACCCAUUUCUUUGUGGACCUCCAUUACCAAAGAGUUGUCAUCCAGCUCCUAUAGUUAUUCCAAAUGACUUGCAUUAUGACAAAGACAAUGAUAGGUUGGUAGAUAUGUAUGUCUUUUAUGUGAGCUUUAUUGUAUCAUACAUGUUAGCAUUGUUAACAACUGCAGCAACUCUAUACAUCAAUCCUUCCUGGAGACAAGCAUGGUUUGACUACAUGGAAUUUGUCAUUUUAAAUUGUUACUACUUUAUCGUUGACAAUUUUUAUAGGUUUUGUAAUACUAAAAAUAUGUAACAUGUAUAUUGCAUCUUAGGAUGUUUAUUUCAUUGUUUCCUUUUAAUAGUGAUUUAAUAAAAAAAAAAAAGUCAUGCAUGUGUGGCUUAAUAUAAUAAAAUGAAAUCUAUUUUGUAUUAAAUUGUUGUUAAGGAUUUUUUUAGUCUUUUAAAUUCUUCAUUAUACUGUGAGAGAAUGUAGAUAAGAUAUUUUUAUAUCACAUUAAUUAAUAAUAAGGCUUCAUAUGUUUUUAGUACUUAUAAAACAGGUUAACUUGGUUGAGGUGAAAAAAUUUGUGACCAAAUUUGUAGUCUUUAUUAAUUCAUGAUAUUUUAUUUUAGUAUUUAAAUCUUAUUUUUAGUAUCUAUGUCAUAGAAUCUGAACGAGACAAAGUUAUGAUUUAAUAAAAAUUAAAAGUGAUUAAUUUUUUAUUUAAUAGUAAGAACUUGCUAACAGAAAAUUAUGGAAACUAAAAGUUUUAGUGAAAUGUAGUAGAAAUUAAAACAAUUACUCUAUUUAAAAGAACACUUGAAUCCCUUAAUAAUAAUUUAAAAUCAUGAUUCACUUAAAAUUUUAUACGAUUUAUUUUUCACACGCAUUAUUUUACACACGCAUUAUUUUUUACCCACCACCCAUUUGUAUGUUACAGUAAAAAAAUUAUUAAAUAUAAUUAAUUUAAUAUAUUACAAAAAAAAUUAUGAAAUAUAAAUAAUUUUAGAGAAAAAAAAUUAAUUAAAUAAAUUAGAUACUAUUUUAGAUAUUAAAAAAUUAUUAGUAUUUAAAUUAAUUUUUUUAUUAAUAAAUAAUUUCUAAAUUAAUAUUUAAUUAAUUAUCAAAGUUUUAGUUAUCAACUUAAGAAUCUAAAUAAUUGGUUAAAAAAAAUAUGUAACUAGUUAGAUGCCAAUUUAACAACUAUUUAUAAAUAACAACAACUAAAUUAAAUACAAAAAAAAAAUUAGUCUCGACAAUGUUAGAAAAGAUGGCUUUAAACUGAAUUGUUUAAAGGGCUUUUCGCAAACUUUUCAAAGCUAGAAUGAACUUAUUUCAGAAACCAAUUGAUUCAACAAUUCAGUUAGCCAAAACAGCAAGCAAAACUGUAAUACUAGAAAAAACAAUCGGUUGUUUCUUCGAAACAAUCGGUUGUUUCUUCGAAACAAUCGGUUGUUUAUACCAGCAAACAACAAACAAACUGAAAUUAAAGAGUUAGGGAUAGAAAGAUUGUAUACAGUUGUUUAUACUGGUUCACUCCAAACUAGAGCUACAUCCAGUCUUCUCAGAAACCCUGAGGAUAUCCACUAAGCAACCACACCUUGAUCACUUACACCACAACCAAGAGAAUGACCUUGAACACCUCAAGAAACACACUCUCCUUGGCCAACACUAAGAUUGCUGAUCUUGAACACCUCAAGAACACACAACCAAUCUCAGCAAAACAAACAAACGAAUUGUUUAGCAGUUUACAAAGAUUACACUUGUUACAUAUCAAAAUCUGAAAUCAAUACAAGUAGAAUCCUAUUUAGCACCUUGAUCAAUCUCAAAACUCUUUAGCAAUCUCAGAACUCUUUGAAAAACUCUUAGAUCAAAACUUUGUUUCAAGAUUCUUUAUACAUCAAAAACAGUUUUUCAGAAUAUAUCUAAGAAUAUAGUUUGUUAUCAAAUCUUAACAAACUCUUAAUUGCAUUUAAAAUAGAUUGGUCAAAGCAUUUAAUGACUGGACCGUAUUCAGUUAAAGCAUUUAAAGCUCAGUCAAAGAAAAUAGCUUUUCUGUUAUGGUUUCAAAACAAACAAUCGAUUGUUUCCUCGAAUCAAUCGGCUGUUUUGUUACUUAACAAAAUUCACCAUUCAAAAACAGUUUUCAAACUUUCUCAAAACACUUAAGUGUAAACAAUCGGUUGUUUCAACUUAGUUUAAAAAACAUUUUGCUUUGUUAAAAUUGAGAUGCUAAUUGCUUUGAGAUUUAAUCUAAGGGUUGAUUACAACAUUAAACUACCCCAGAACAAGGCUUAGACCAGCACAGCAGCAUCAAGCAAAGCAGAGGCUUCAUCAUCCUUCAAAGGAUUUGGAUUCUUCAAAACAUUGAACACCACUUGGUUCAACAAUCUCCCCCUAUUUGAUGAAGACAAAUCCCUGAUUCUUGUGUUGUUCUUGCAAUAGAACUUUGAGCAAUGCAUUGAACUUCUGAUAUUUUGUUAGCAUACAGAUAAACAAUUAAAGCUUAAAACAUCUAAUAUCAGAACCAAAAACAUCACCCAAACUGUUUUUAACAAUAUGAAAAACAGAAACUUAAAACAAAUUGGAAACACAGCAUAUAUCUCCCCCUAUUUGUCUUCACAAAUAGACAAAGAUAAGAGAUAAAAUAAGACAUUGUUCCCAUUACAUCAGAAUAAUCCAGCAACAACAGAAGAAAAGAAAUUUUAAAACCAGAAAAGAGAACAGCCAAAAACAAUCGAUUGUUUUGAUGACCAAUCGGUUGUUUUUCUUUCAAUCUUCUUCAUCAGCAAACUGAAGAUCAAAGAUUUGAUUCUGGACAGCUUCAAUUUGUUCAUCCAGAGUCAUAAACCUUGCAUCCAUGUUGUCAAACCUUGUGUCAAUCCUCUGAAAGUUGCUAACACACAGAUCAUGAAGGCUUCUUUGAUUUUCUGCAAAGCUAUCUAGCCUCUCCAUCAUUUCUCUUUCAAAAGAUGACAUGGUUGACAUUCUUUCUCUUUGAUAUCCAUUAGCAGCACUAGGCCCUGCAUCUUGAAAAUCUCCAGCUGGAUCUUCAUGUUGAACAUCCAUGUCAGCAGGUUCAUCUUGUUCAAGAUGAGCAGCACCACUAGAUGAUGCACCAUGAUCACCAUCCUUACUUAUCCACUUUCCACCUACUUUUGUAAAGCCCAUCUUGUUGAGUGAUCCAUUGUUCAACUCUUGAGUUGACUUGACCAGCUCAGAAGUUUCAUCUUCAAGAUUAACUUCAAAAUAGAGUAGAAACUUAGAUAUUAAAACAGCAUAGGGAUAGUGGUAAUCGCCUAACCUCAUGGCUUUUUGCAUAUGUUCUUUGAUUAUGUGAAUCCAAUUGAUCUUCACUUUCUUGGGGAUGCAUAAGAUAUAAACCAUAUCUUCUUCAGUCAACACAGAGUGGUUACUCCCCCUUGGAGUUAGGAUCCAAGUUACAAUGAGAGCAAGCAACCUCUCAUCAAGCUUCAAGCCUCCAACCGAGCAAGUGCUAACUUGAGAUUGAUUGUUCUUCAAGCAACUUUUGUAGAACUGGAUUUUGUUGAAAUCUUCUACGACACCAAGGUUUCCUUUAUUGAUUCUUAAUCCAGAGAACUUAAGCCCAGCUACAGCAGCCCAAACCUCAUGGGUUAUCUCCAUCUCCACACCUUUCACAUGAGAGACUAAGUUGUUUUCCUCAAACUUCAAGUUGGUGUAGAAAACCCUCACCAAAUCUGGAUAUAUGUUCCCUUUGAGCUCCAUAAACUUUCUGAGUGAUUGGUCUUUGAGAAGCCUCCUCACAUUGUCAAGCUUUUGACUUUUUAGCCAGUUAAAGCACACAACCUUGGGGUUGUUUAUCUUCUUGACACUUGUUUCAUAUCUAUACUUCUCAAUGAGAUCGGUGUCACUAGAAAACCAGCUUUCAAGCCUUCCUUCAGACCUUACAACUCUGGUUUUGACUCUUUUAGCGGUGGGAGGGGUUGAUUUCAUGACAGCAGAGACGAAAACUCACUUCACGGAAAAUUUUCAAGAGAUGGUGCAAGAGAUAUUGCAAGAGAUGUUGCAAUUGGUUGUUCUUGAUGAAAGAAAUUUGCACCUGAUUUUAUAGUAGAAAGAGAAUCAAUUUGAAUUUAAUUUCAUUCAAUGGGUACCUGAUUUUCAGAGAGAGGACUUGACUCAGUUCUGCACUGAAAAUGUCAGAAAAAGCUGAAAAUCACAUGGUCUUCACAUGUGAUCUUUGACUAGUCAUUAAGGCUCUUGAAUUUUCAAGAUUUUGGAAUAUAUUCCUUUAUGACUGUUGUGACUUCUUUCUGAACGUGAUCAGCUUCCAACACAGAUCCUUUGACCAAGAUUCUCCCUUAGAAAAAUAUAUGCAACGGCUAGAAAUUUAAAAGGCAGUUAAAUCAAUUUCUUCACAGUGCUGUCAGACUCAAAACAAUCAGUUGUUUCGAAGAAACAAUCGGUUGUUUUUCUGCAGCAGUUAAAAACUUGAUUUUGUAAUUUUUAACCAUAAACAGAGAUAAAUUAAAGCAUAUGACAUUGAUUAAAAGACAAUUAAUCAUAAGAAAGAACUUUGANNNNNNNNNNNNNNNNNNNNNNNNNNNNNNNNNNNNNNNNNNNNNNNNNNNNNNNNNNNNNNNNNNNNNNNNNNNNNNNNNNNNNNNNNNNNNNNNNNNNGUUGUUUCUUCAAUGAGCCAAUUGCUUGUUGAUCAAGAAAUCUUCUUUUCACUGUUUUGACCUUUUGCAUAGCAAUGAUUCAGCUUCAAUGACUGCCUUUUUCUUCAACAGCUUGAUCAGAUGGCUCAAUUCUUCCUUUUCUCUUCAUUUUUUCUGCAUAAUCAAAUUCAAGUUGCAAGAUUUGGUCCCCUUACAAAUUUGGGUCCACUUGGCUUUUCUUUGUUGUUAGAAACAUCACAUCCCUUAGGAAUCCAUUUCAUAAAACCUUUAGGAACACAAUAUUUUCUAAUUUUGCAGAAUCUAACAGAGUGGCAUUUCUUCAUGCAGUAAAAGCAUGUAACAACCAGUUGUUUCAUCUUAACAAUUGGUUGUUUUUCUGAUUUUCUCAAAAAGCUUUUUGAAAACCUAUCUUGCUUGUUCUGUGGAUUGAAGCCUAAACCAACCUUUCCAAAAACACAGCUUUGAGAUACUAGGACAUUCUCAAAGUUUGACUUUCCUUUUGAAAGCUUGUCCACAGUUUCAACAAGAUAGUGAACCUUUUUCUCAAGAUUUUCACAAUUUGUGCAAUUGAGAGUAUCACACUUGCAAGAGGCAUUUUUGAAAUUAUUNNNNNNNNNNNNNNNNNNNNNNNNNNNNNNNNNNNNNNNNNNNNNNNNNNNNNNNNNNNNNNNNNNNNNNNNNNNNNNNNNNNNNNNNNNNNNNNNNNNNUUUUUGCUUUUCUCAGUUCCUCUUCAAGUGAUUUAACUUACUUUUCAAGCCCAUUGUUAAGAUCUUUGAAUCGGUUGUUUGAAAGAACCAAUCUAUUAGCUUCAUCAUGUGUUUCUUGAAAAGCUUCAAGCAAUUCACUAUAGUUUUGUUCAUUUAAGGAAGCACAUGAACUUACCUCACUUGAACUGCAGGAAUCAUCAUCAUCAUCCUCAGCAACUAAGCAUAUGUUGGCUUUUUCAUCUUCACUUGAUGAAGAACUUGAUGAUGACACUUCAUUUUCAUCCCAAGCUAUGUAAGCUCUUUUUGUCUUGCCUUUCUUCUCCUUGUAGCUUGUCUUUUUCUCUUUGCUCUUGUUGGGACAAUCAGCCUUUAUGUGACCUUGCUCACCACAACCAAAACAAGUAUAGUUAUUUGAAUUAAAUUCAUUGGGUUUCUUGUUUCCAUACCUAUCCUUGUUGUUGUCUUUGUUGCAGUUUCUCUUUAGGAAUUUGCUGAAUUUUCUUGACAGCAAACUAAGAUUUUCCUCAUCACUAUCAUCACUUGAAUCUUGCUUUUCCUUAUGUUUGGAUGCUUUCAAGGCUAUGCUCCUUGUGUGCUUAUCUUCACUUUCUUGAACAUUGAGUCUAUUCAUCUCUAGCUCAUGUUCCCUAAGCUUNNNNNNNNNNNNNNNNNNNNNNNNNNNNNNNNNNNNNNNNNNNNNNNNNNNNNNNNNNNNNNNNNNNNNNNNNNNNNNNNNNNNNNNNNNNNNNNNNNNNAGAAUAGCAGUUACCUUUGGUUGCCAUGCUCUAUCAAGACAUUUCAAGAUCUUGAUGUUCAGCUCUUCUUUAUCAAACGUCUUGUCUAGGCUCAUAAGGUGAUUGAUGAUGUGUGUAAACCUUUUCUGCACUUCAGCUAUGGUUUCACCUUUAAGCAUUCUAAACAUCUCAUACUCUUGGAUGAGAGCAUGCUUUCUAGCACUUUUCACCUCAUUUGUUCCUACAUGAGUGACUUCCAAAGUAUCCCACAUCUCUUUUGAUGAUUUGCAUUGUGAGACCCUGAAAAACUCAUCAGAAUUUAAAAGCAGAGGUUAUAAUAUUUUUGGCAAUGCAAUCGAAUUUGGCCUUUUACUUUCUGCAUCAGUCCAUUGAGACCAUGGCUUCUCAAUGACAGAACCAUCUUUUUCAAACUUUGGGAUAAAAGGGUCAUUUUCAAUUGCAUCCCAAAUUCCUUUGUCAAGAGAUUCCAUAAAUAUUUUCAUUCUAACUUUCCAAAACUGGUAAUUCAAAUCACAAAACAAGGGUGGUCUGUUUAUUGAGGCACCUUCCCCAAACGGUAGUCUAUCAGCCAUUUUGAAAGAUUUUAGGAUCAACUUGAAUGACUUACAAGAACCAAGCUCUUGAUGCCAAUUGUUAGAAAAGAUGGCUUUAAACUAGAGGGGGAGUGAAUUGUUUAAAGGGGGUUUCGCAAACUUUUCAAAGCCAGAAUGAACUUAUUUCAGAAACCAAUUGAUUCAGCAAUUCAGUUAGCCAAAACAGCAAGCAAAACUGUAAUACUAGAAAAAAACAAUCGGUUGUUUCUUCGAAACAAUCGGUUGUUUAUACCAGCAAACAACAAACAAACUAAAAUUAAAGAGUUAGGGAUAAAAAGAUUGUACACAGUUGUUUAUACUAGUUCACUCCAAACUAGAGCUACAUCCAGUCUUCUCAGAAACCCUAAGGAUAUCCACUAAGCAACCACACCUUGAUCACUUACACCACAACCAAGAGAAUGACCUUGAACACCUCAAGAAACACACUCUCCUUGGCCAACACUAAGAUUGCUGAUCUUGAACACCUCAAGAACACACAACCAAUCUCAGCAAAACACACACACAAAUUGUUCAGUAGUUUACAAAGAUUACACUUGUUACAGAUGAAAAUAUGAAAUCAAUACAAGUAGAAUCCUAUUCAGCACCUUGAUCAAUCUAAAAACUCUUUAGCAAUCUCAGAACUCUUUGAAAAACUCUUAGAUCAAAACUUUGUUUCAAGAUUCUUUAUACAUCAAAAACAGUUUUUCAGAAUAUAUCUAAGAAUAUAGUUUGUUAUCAAAUCUUAACAAACUCUUAAUUGCAUUUAAAAUAGAUUGGUCAAAGCAUUUAAUGACUGGACCGUAUUUAGUUAAAGCAUUUAAAGCUCAGUCAAAGAAAACAACUUUUCUGUUAUGGUUUCAAAACAAACAAUCGAUUGUUUCCUCGAAUCAAUCGGUUGUUUUGUUACUUAAGAAAAUUCACCAUUCAAAAACAGUUUUCAAACUUUCUCAAAACACCUAAGUGUAAACAAUCGGUUGUUUCAACUUAGUUUAAAAAACAUUUUGCUUUGUUAAAAUUGAGAUGCUAAUUGCUUUGAGAUUUAAUCUAAGGGUUGAUUACAACAUUAAAUUACCCCAGAACAAGGCUUAGACCAGCACAGCAGCAUCAAGCAAAGCAGAGGAUUCAUCAUCCUUCAAAGGAUUUGGAUUCUUCAAAACAUUGAACACCACUUGGUUCAACAAACAAUAGUAUCUAAUUUAGUUAAUAUAAUUAAUUUUUUUUGUCUCUAAACCUAGUUUGUAUUUAAUGAUUAAUGUUACUUUAUGAUUUCACAGAAGUAUAUUACUACUCUAUGAACAUAAACUAUAUAUUUUUCUCAUAACUGGGGAUGCUAAGGAAUUCAGUUGUUGUUAUACAAGCCAAGGGCUCAGGGUUACAUUCAGUUACGACUCCUAUUGAUAAUCAUCAUGUGGGGGUCUCUGCUCCUGUGGCUUUACCAUCUUUGUUGCGUCCUACCUAUCCUCGAAAGGCUAAAUCACCUGCAGAUUCUAAAGCACCAAUUAAUAGUCCAAUUGAUGGUCAUCAUGUGGAGGUCUCUCCUAUUGUGACUGUACCAUCUCUGUCGCCUCAUACCACCCCUUGGAAGGCUAAAUCUCUUGGGGAUGUUAAAGCACCAUCGUUGGUCCUGCAAAAUCAAUUUUCCUCUUUUGGUGGUUUGGAAACUACAAAUGUUAUUUCAAAAUUUUGGGUUGAUCCAAAUGAGAUGGAGGAGGAUGUUAGUGAUACUGGGGAGGAAAUAGUUUGCAUUAAGAGAAAAAACAGGGAGACCACCUAGGCGACUGGUAAAUAAAUAAAAAAACUGCUUAGGCAGUUCUAUCUACAACGUCGCAAUGAAGGUCUCUUAAUUUUUCUGGAAUGUUAGAGGACUAGGAAACCACAAAAAUGUGGACAUGUUGAUUAGUUUACUUAAACUACAUAAACCCCUCCUUGUUUUUCUUGUUGAACCUAUGAUGUUGUAUACUGAUUCUUUCGGCGUCCUUUUCAAAUCUGUUAAUAUGCAUUUGGUGGCUACGUCUCCUCUUGUUAAUAAAGUGUCUAAACCUUGGUGUUUGUUGGUUCCUAAUCUUGUCCAAAAUUUCUUAGUCAAUGAUCAAUUUAUUUUUGUAACUUGUCUUCUACAUGAUAAAUGUAGGGAUGACAAAGCGGGAUGGCUCGUGCGGGCCGACCCACAGCCCGCUGGUAAAAAACGUGAGGCAGACUGACUUUUUCAACCCGCUAACCCACAUUAGCCCGCAACCCGCGCGGGCCAGCAGCGGGGCGGGGCGGGAUGACCCGCUAACCCGCAAGAAAAAAAAAUUGGCACUUAGCAGCAACAAGGGAACGUAAUUAUGUUUUCACAAAAUUUCAAAGAAAGAAGCACAACACAAUCACGUCAAUAAUGUUUAUGUGUAAUGUUUUUGAAUUAAUGUUUAUGUUUAUGUUUAAUGUUUUGGAAGUGGAAUAAUAGUGAUAUUUGAUAUUUAUCUUAAUGUUUAAUGUUUUGAUGUUUGACUAUGUUUGAAAAGGAAGAAAAAUAAUUUAGGUUUGAUAGUAACAAAUAUAUAGGUUUAAUUUGAUAAUUUUUUAAGAACAAAAUGUAAAAAAAAAAAAUAUUUAAUUUAAAAAAAAAAGAAAAAAGAACGCGGGCUGGCCCACAAACCCGCGGGCCAGCUCUUAUGCAGGGCUGGUUGAGAAUUCUAGCCCGUAAUAACUUUGUGGGGUGGGCCAACCCAACCCGCAUUUUUGUGGGCCAAGCGCGGGGCGGGCUGGCCCGCUUUGCCAACCCUAGAUAAAUGUUUUAGCUUUGCAGGUGUUUAUGUUGCUACCUCAUACUUGGCUAGAUGGUUUUUGUGGAUGGAUUUUAGUUUCUUCACAAGGUCGUGGUGUAUUCUGGGAGAUUUUAAUAUUGUGCUCUCGACGGAUGACUGUAAAGGGGUGGCUCUUAAUCAGGUUUCCUGUAAUGAAUUUCUUAAUGGGAUUAAUAUUAAUGAUCUUUCUUGUAUGCUUUUUUACUGGAUCUUGUUAUACUUGGUGUAAUGGAAGGAGAGGGUUGCAUAGAAUUCAUAGAAGAUUGAAUUGGGCUUUAUGUAAUUAAGUGUGUCUAGAUGAAUGGGACUCUUGUAGUUAUCAAGUUCUCGUUAAAAAUUGUUUUGAUCAUCCUCCUAUUCUUGCAAUAAUUCGUUGAGGAAUAUUAGCAAUUUUCGUUUCUUUUCUAUGUGACUUCAGAACACUUCAUGUCUGAAGCUUAUUCAUGAUUCUUGGGCUAAUAAGGUUGUUGGUUGACCUAUGUUUAUUUUGCAACAUAAGUUAAAAAGGUUGAAAAUUGACCUCCGAGAUUGGAAUAAAAAUUCUUUUGGUAAUGUUCACAAUGCAGUUCUUCUUAAGCAGGGUCUCCUCCUUGGUAUUCAACAAAACUUAGAGACUGUUAGUUUGUCUAAUAUUGUUGGGCUUCUCUGUCAAGAAAAGAUUGUUAAGGAGGAGCUUAACCAUGCUCUUCACUGUCAAUAUUUGUUUAGGAAAGAAAGGGCUAAGAUGUUAUGAUUCGAAGAUGGAGAUCGAAAUACUGCUUUUUUCCAUGUUGUGGUCAAAAGGACAAAUAAUUUUAGUGGGAUUCAUCGUCUAUGGAUUGAUAAUGAGGUUACUCGAGAUCCUAAACUCAUUGAGGAUCAUAUUUUGGACUUUUAUAAAAGUCUUUAUGUUGAGUCUAUUUCUAAUGUUCUGGAUACAAGUAAUAUGCUUGGAACUUUGCUUAUAGCAACAAGCCUUGGUCUUUGCUCUUGAAAGCUAGGGUUCUUAAAUCAAAAUACGGGUUUAGAAUGGUGUAUAGAUCCUCAUCUCUUUGGCCUAAAAUUAAGCAGUUUUAUUCUACUAUAUUUGAUUAUACUUCUUGGACUGUUGGUACAUGUUCUUUUAUUAAUUUCUGGAAUGAUAAAUGAUGUUAAACUACUUCUUUAGCAAAUAUUGCAGGGUUAUCUGAUGGUACUAGCAUUCCGGAUACAGUGUCUCAGUUUUGGACAAGUUGUCAUUAGAAUAUUUCAUAUCUUUACAGCAGAUGCCUCAUUUUUUUAAUCAUAUCAUGGUUAGGGAGGAACAAGAUAUUCCUAAUUGGAUUCUAGAUGACUCUGGUCGUUUAACUCUUAAAUCGGUUAUGACUUUUAUCUUGGAACCAGGAGUUCCAUGUGGUUAGGGUAAAUUCAUUUGGUCUUCAUCUAUUUCGGCUUCCAAAACUAUAAUACUCUUGAAAGUUUUUCAUGGGCGGCUUCCUACAGAUCAACAUAUUCAAAAUAAAGGUUUGCAUAUAUGUUCUAUGUUUACGCUUUGUGAAGAGCAUGAGGAAUCUAUCCAACAUUUAUUUUUUAAUGUUCUAAUGCUUUGAAUAUUUGGAGUUGGGUUCGACAGAUUUUUCCUACUUCUUAUUUCUCUAAUAAAGAUGAUCUUCUUUCUUUUAAUCAAAGCGAAUGUAGUCCUUUGGUUAAAUUGACUAAGCUUGUUGUGAAAACUUUUUCUAUUUGGAUGAUAAGGCAUAUAAAGAAUUAUGCUAGACUUUAGGAUAAGAUUGAGUUAUUUCGAUUAUUAAAGAUUUAACUUGUCUAGUGGGAAAUUCGUCUAAAGCUUCAAUGAAGAAUGAUAUGUUGGAUUUCAAAGUGAUUAAGUUUUUUGGUAUUAAUACUCGUAGUGAUAAAGUUCUUUGUCAUCUUCCUGUUAGAUGGGAUUUUCUUUCACCAGGCUGAGUUAAAAUUAACAUUGAUGGAAUGUGGAGGUAUUUUCCAUGGGAGUAUAGGGGAGUUUAUUUGUGCUUUCUCUGCAUUUUUUGAAGUUCAGACUUUUGUGGAUGCUAAGUUUUAUGGAGUUAUACAUGUUAUGGAGGAAGCUUAAAAGAUAGGGCUUACUAAUGUGUCUGGCUUGAAUGUGAUUAUGCGUUGGUUUAUGUUGUGUUUACUGCUAGGACUAAUGUUCCGUGAAUGCUUCGUAAUCAAUGAAAUACUUGUCUUAAUUACUGUGAAGAAUAAAAAAUACAGUGUAACUGGUGCCGAACACGAUCUAAAUAUGACUCUACUUAGCUAACAUAAUCCAUGUCCGUAAGGUAAACAAAAUACAUGAGAAGACCUAUAGAAAAAAAAAACAGAAUAUAUAAAAAAAGAAAACAUAACCCUGCAGGAUCUUCGUAAACAAAACUUCAAUAACAGACUGACAGGUACACUACAUCUAUCUAUUAUGAUAGGUUUUAUUGUUUAUUUUCACUAGAGAUAAUUUUUAAGAAAAAUCAUACUGUGAAAACAUAAGUUAAGCUUAAAUUAAUUUAUCAUUUUGGUUUCUAAAUUUCUUUUAUUUUAGACUUUAUAAAAGAAAUUUUACUGUUUUAAUUUGAUCUCUAUGGUUAGAGUAUCUCAUUACAUAAGACAUAAUACUAACUCAUUAAAACACACAUGACAUAAUAUAUUAUGGUAACUUAAUAUUUAAUAUGACACCUAUAAAAAGGAUUUUGAAUGUAAAAUUAGUAACAAAUGUGUCUCAUCAAGUUACGUUCUUUGAUUUUCUCUUUUUUUUAGUAUAUAUUAAAAAGUUGUUAAAAUAAUAAUCAAAAUUUAUAGUAAUAAUAUAAUAAUAAAGAAAAAUAUUUUAUUAUUUUAAUUGGUGUAUAUAUUUCAUUUUUAAAAAAAUAUUUUUAACUGUGACUUUGUUUUACAUAAAAGAAUUUAUUAUUUACAUAAAUACAUUCAAUAUCUCAUUGUCAGAAUCAUCAAUCUUUAUAUAAACAAAUCAUUUUUAUUUUUUUAAUAAAAAAAGGUGAAUAAAAAAUUAUGUAUUAUUCCAACACUUCAUAGAUUCUAAAAAAAGUGUUUUAAAAAAUAAUUUAUUAUUAAAAUAAAAAUUAACAUUAAAUUAUAAUUUUUUAAAAUAAUAUAUAAUGCACAUUUUUCAUUUUGAAUAUAUAUUUCAUAUUUAUAGUUAUCCUUAAUUAUAUUUUCAAGCCUAAAAUAAAACCAUCUUAGACAUAAAACAUCAUAUAUUUUGGAAUCUCUUUUCAAAAAUAGAAAUUAAAAGCCAAAGUUAGCUUAAGAUGCAUGGUUUGAAAGCCUAUGAUGUUUAUAUUAAAAUGGUGGCUAAUUUUCUUCUUCCUUUUAUAUAAAAAGCUUUCAUGAUAGGUAUCACUAUGCUACUUGACAUCUCAAUUAUACUGAUACCUCAAGUAACAAUAAUCAUUUGUCAUCACAUGAAAAACAUAUUAUUAAAAAAAAAUAAUAAAAAAAAUACAAAAAUAUGGGGGAACUAGACGAAAACUCAUAUGUUAACAAAAACGAUACAUAGGUAGGGGUGGCAAAGCGGACCGACCCGCCCCGAACAGGCCCGCCCCACUUAGGCCCGCAAAAAUGCAGACCGGGUUGGCCCGCCCCGCAUACAAAAUACAGACUGGUUUUCAUGACCCGCCCCGCAUGCAGGUUGGGUCGUGGGCUUGCGAGUCGGCCUGCUAUUUUUUUAACGUAGAGGAGGAGUGGAGGCAGUAGCGGUGUGCAGCAGUGGAGCAGCAGUAGCGCGCAACAAUUGCAGGCGAAGCCACGCGGCGUCGCAAGCGGCGGCGCUGCAAAGGAGAGUGUGUCAUGUGUUGGGUGCGUUUUUGGAACAACGCAACUACGUUGUGAUUUGAGUGAAAACCUAAUUUUCUUUCACUCAAAGUUGUCACUCCUCCACUUGACCAUUGUUGUCAAGUCAAUUAAUUUUUAAUUUUUUUUUGCAGGCUAGCGGGCCAGCCCGCCCCGCCCCGAUGCUGGCCCGCGCGAGCUGCAAGUUAUGCGGGGCGGGUUAAUGCGGGUCAGCGGGUUGAAAAUGUUAGCCUGCCUUGCGUUUUUUACCACGGGCCACGGACCGGCCCGCCGCACUUUGCCACCCCUAUACAUCGGUACACUAUAGCUAUUAAUAAAGAAUUUUAAGAACAUACUAGAUAGAAGCCUAUUAUACCAAUGAAAGGAUUCUCUGUGAAUAAAUUCUAAAUUAGCCAACUUAUCAGCACACACAUUCCUUUCACGAAAAAUAUGAGUAACCCUAAGCCUGAUUUUUCCACAGUAAUUAAGACAAGUAUUCCAUCGAUUAUGAAGCAUCAAAGGAACAUUUGUCCUAGCAGUAAAUGCAUCACAAACCAAGGCAGAGUCACAUUCCAGCCAGACAUUAGUAAGUCCCAACUUUUGAGCUUCCUCCAAAGCAUAUAUAACUCCAUAAAAUUCAGCAACCAAAGCAGUCUGAACGUCAAGAAACAUAGAGAAAGCUCCAAUAAACUCCCCCAUACUCCCACGAAAAAUACUUCCACAAGUGGCAAGACCUGGAUAACCCCUAGCAGCCCCAUCAAUGUUAAUUUUAACCCAACCUGGUGAAGGAAACUCUCAUCUAACAGGAAAAGGACGAAGAACUUUACCAUUACGAGUAUUAAUACCAAAAAACUUAAUCACACUGAAAUCCAUCAUACCAUUCUUCAUUGAAGCUUUAAACUACUUUCCCACUAGAAAAAAUAAAUCUUUAAUAACUGAAAUAAUCCUAGAAACCUCAAUCUUAUCCUGAAAACGAGCAUAAUUCCUCAUAUGCCAUAACAUCCAAACAGAAAACGUUAUCACAACAAGCUUAAUCAAUUUAACCAAAGGACUACCAUCACUCUUAAUAAAAUAAAGAAGAUCAUCCUUAUUAGAGAAAUGAGAAGUAGGAAAAAUAUGUCAAACCCAACUCCAAAUAAACAAAGCAUUAGGGCAUUCAAAAAAUAAAUGAUGAAUAAAUUCCUCAUGCUUUUCACAAAGCGUACACAUAGAACAAAUAUGGAGACCUUUACUUUGAAUAUGAUGAUCUGUAGGAAGCCGCCCAUGAAAAACUUUCCAAAAGACAAGAGUUUUGGAAGGUGGGAUAUCUGAAGACCAAAUAAAUUUACCCCAACCACAGGGAACUCCUGGUUCCAAGAAAAAAGUCCUAGCCGAUUUAAGAGUAAACCGACCAGACUCAUCUAGAAUCCAAUUAGGAACAUCCUGAUCCGCCCUAACCAUUAUAUGACUAAAAAGAUGAGGCAUCUGCUGUAAAGGCAACGGAAUAUUCCAAUCAUGACCUAUCCAAAACCGAGAAACUGUAUCUGGAAAGCAAAUACCAUCAGAUAACCCUACACUAUGUGCUAAAGGAGUAGUAGAACAUCAUUUAUCAUUCCAAAAACUAAUAAAAGAACUUGUACCAACAGUCCAAGAAAUAUAAUCAAGUAUAGUAUAAUAAAACUGCUUAAUUUUAGGUCAAAGAGAUGAAAAUAUGUAAACCAUUUUAAACUUGUAUUUUGACUUAAGAACCCUUGUUUUUCAAGAACCAUCGGGAAAUAAUUGUCAUUAUAGGGGUUAGUAAAAACUUUCGUUAAUUUGUUAGCGACGCUGGAUAUACCAGGGGAAAAACAAACUGCGGGUAACACACUUAGUAGGGGUUAAAAGUACCAAAAAGUUAAAUAUAAGUUUUGUUAAAAAUAAUUUUUCUUGCAGUGUUAGCAACUCAUCCAACUAUUUAUUAAAAUCCUCAAGUACAACGGUAGAUGGUCUUGUUUCAUCGAUUGAACCUCUCAAUCCCGAUUAAAAAAAAUAAAAAUCUGGAUCAAGAGCUGCUGAUAAUAAAGUCUAAAGAAAUCUAAUCCUAACAAAAAGUGCCUCCUAACAAAAAGGGCCUCCACAGCAAGUCUCUUGGUAGUAAUACUUUCACAAUUGGACCAAAUAUAGUCUCCAAAAGAUCAAUUGAGCAUACUUUCUUGUCCUUUUCAAGUAUGUUAUUAACUUAACAUUGUUAUGAUCCUAAAAUAAAAACAAUGCAAACAAAACCAAAGUAAACCCUAAACAAAACCAAACUAUCAUUCAGGCUUAGUUACAAAUGGAGAAAAUGUUUAUAUAUGAAUUUUAUGAAACAACCAUGUUCAUGGAAAUUUGGCGUUUUAGCUUUACCAGGUGUAAGGAAGUGGUGAACCUGAGGCUGCAGAAUAAAUUAAAAAACCUUAAUUAACCUUAUUGAUAAUAAAGAUUAAGAAUCAAAUGGAGGAUGAAUUGUACUUCAAGGAGAUAAUUUUUUUCAGCUUAGAAUUUCAUAUUUUGAGUUUUGAUUACUAUAAAAACGAUAUUCUCUAAUUUUAAUGAAUGAAAUAAAUUUAAUUUUUUUUAGUGAGAUAACAUCCAGACUCUACUUUUACACUACCUUGACUACAAAAGAAAUUACUUUCACCAAGGGAAACUCUAUCUAAAAGAAAUUUCAAAGUCUUGAUUGGUGGAUGAGAGAAGCAAUUGUCCAAACCACAAUUGUUUUAACCUUUGUAACAAUUUUCCGAAAGAAUGUGUCUAUUAGAUUAUAUAUAACAGAAAAAUUAUGCUAGUAUUAAUUAAAUGGCCCAGCAUAGGAUUUAGAGGACAAUAUUCCUAAUCCCCUAAACUGCCAAGUCAUAGUUUCCAAAAAAAAUAAUAUAAAUAAAAUGUAGUUGGAUUUGACCAAUCAUAACCCCUUAGUCUAAGCAACAUCAUCUUGCUAUUUCAUGAUCAUAAAUCCACAACUGGAAGGAUUUUUUCCAGUUUCCAAGCUAAAAAAUGGUACGAAGUUUGUCACAUCAGUGAAAAAAAAAAUAUAAAAACAAAGCAACUUUGACAAUUUGAGAGAAAAGCUUCAAUGAAGUGUCUUCUAACUUUUAAUAAAGCAGCCUCUCAUACCUAAGUUCAAAGCAUAUUUAAUUACGUAUUGCAGUUAAAGAUGUACACAUAAUUAAAUCACUGGUAAUAUGAAUCUCAAGCAAUCGAUACGUAAUUAUAAAAUUAAAUAAGCUAGUGACAUGUAUAGAUCCCAACAAAGAACAAAAUCUCUAAAAAAAAAAACAUAGGCAAGAAAGAAUAUUGAAUGCAAUAACUUACAUCAACAUCAGACAAGUGCCCUACCAUUAUCCAUGGACGAAAUCUUAGCAGUUCUUUCAUGUGAAGAGCUGGCAAAACAAUGCCAUAAGAAACUAAAAUGCAUCCAUAAAAAGAAAUAAAAAACACAACCUUCCAUAAUAUACAUGCGACUUUUUUUCUCAUAUAACAUUAUUUUCACUUUUAUUUUCCUAAAUAACAUCUUUUUAUUUUAAUUUUCUUGUGUAACAUUGUUUUUUCUCAUGGUUUCAUUUUGUAUUUUCGAAAAAAAAAAAUCUCUUAGAAUUUGGUUUCUGGAAUGGUGUUUUUAGAAUUUUUUAUUUCUUUGUCUAGAGUGAAUGGAAAAGAAAAAAAAUAUAAAAUAAAAUAAAAAUAAGUUUAAAAACUAAUAAAAGAAAAUAAAAAGAAAAAUAAUUAAUAAAUUAAAAAGAAUUAAUAAUUUUAAUUUUGGAUGAUUAAAAAUAAAUAUAUUGGUUUUAAAAAAAAUAUUUUUAAUAUUUAAAAUAGUUAGAAAUAUAAUUAUUGAAGAAAGAAAUGAGUUUUUGCAAAGAAGAAUGAUGUCCCAAGACAUGAAAAAAGAAGAAUAAAAUAUAUUUUCUCUAAAAAGCAUAAUUAUGCAAGUUGCAACAAAUAACUUACUGUACAAAGCACAACAUUGACUAUUCAACAAAAUCCCAUAGAUGCAUGCCCGUCAUAAAUACAAAACUCUCUUAUCGUAACAAACAAAAAUGUAAUGACAUUUUACCAGUAAUAACUAUUAAGUAAAUUACAGAGGAAAAAAAGGAAGAACUAGUUUGUGUCAUUUACACGUUAUACCACAUUAAACAUGCAAGAAAAUAAAUCGGGUGAGAUUAUAAAGGCUUUCCCUCACAAAUAUUAAGCUAAAAAGAGAGGGGACAAUUUGCGUCAAUUAGACUAUCUCUUUGAACUCUUCAUUCCUGUCUUAUUAUAUUUGUUUUACAAAAUAAAGUGGAUCCCAUUAACAAGACAUUUGGAGCAUAUACAGAGGUGAAUGUAGUCUAACUUGCAUAUACAAGCAUAUGCUAUAUUGUUUAAGCAAUUCAAGAAGUAGACAUCAUAUUUUAAUUUUUAACUUUAAUUUUGUAUUCCUUCAACUGGUAUCUUGUUUUACAUUCACUAUCAGAAUGUAAAAUUUCACAUUAAAUUGUUUUACCUGAACUUCCCAGAAAGGGUAACUGUGACCAUAUAACAAACAAGAUUGGCAUUAAUUUUGGUACUUCAUAAUCGAACUGCAUUAAAAUUUAAGAUUCGUAAAGUUCAGAACUAAAACUAUAAUAUAAAAUAAAUAAAAUUAGAACGAAUAAAAAAUGAUAUCAAGAAAGUGUAGUUGUUGAGUUUGUUGAAGAUGAAAGGAUAAAGUCUCCCACAUGACUAAAAGAGUUUGCAUAAACAAGUCCUAAAUGACCUUGAAACAAUGUAUAUUGUCUUUUCCCAACACCUUGCCCUAACAUUUGAUCAUUCUCACCUGCGAAAGAGCUAAUAAUAGCAAAAUUAAUAACUAGACUUUUACAACAUGCAAAACAAUUUGGUCAUGCUCAAAAUAUUUGCCCCACCACAAGUAUGAUUAGGCUUUCCAGGAGAUAGUUGAUAACGAUAUCUGCAUAUUGAUUAUGUUGAUAAAUAUUAAAGUGUGCCAAAAACAAGAAUGUAGAACAAGUAGAACUAAAUAUUAAACACUUUUGUGCAUGUGCCUGAUGUAGUAUCUCCUAGAUAUACCAAAACAAAACACAAUUUAUCUAAAAACUUCCUAAAAAACUUAAGCAUUGUACAAAGAUCACCCACCUCUCUCACUCCUAACCCUUUUCCUUCAUCACCAACCAUCUUUCCAAUAAACCAACACCUCUCCACUCCACAGUUCAAUCACGUUCUAUCAUUGCUAACCUCUCUCACUCCAAAUCGUUCGAUCACGUUCAGUAAAGAGAGAGUCCAAAUGUAAGUAUAGAUUGAGAAAAUUAAGAAGAAGAAAAAAAUCACCACAGAAACAACAAAAUUAAGCAAGAGUAUAUGAAAUAAACAAAUCGAUCCUUGCGGAACGCAAUUAAAGUAAUUGAAACACACUUUGCACAAAGGAAACACGAUUUGUAGAGGAAUCAGUUCAGUGGUGGACCAAAGGUAGAAGAAGCUUCCAAAGUCAUUCCGAAAGUGUUUGGCAGUGCGAUGAUGAGGUCCAAUGCAGUGGGUAAGGUGAGAGUUAAAGGAGAAAUUAUACGUUUAGAGGAGAGUGGAGAAAUUAGGGGUUUUCUGAGAGAAAUUAUGAGUCUAUUGGAAAAAAAAUACAAAAUUCUUUAUUAAAUUAUUUGAAAAAUAAUUAAUUGAAUUUAUUUACUAGAGUUUGAAAAAACCUAAUGUAGUUCUUCAAGGUUAUGUAAUAAACUCUUAGAUUUUAAUGGAGAUUAAAACAACCUUUGCUAGUCAAAUGCAUUGUUGAAGUUUAUAUAACCUCAUAUAAAUAACCCCCACUAAAAUCAAUUUUUUUAUAGUGAUGGUGGUGUUCAAAUUUUGAAACCAUAACAAGGAUGCUAGAAAUCAAACAAAAUCAAUAAUAAUGAAAAUUCAUCAUUUAAUCAGUCAUUAAAUAUAAUACCUUAUAAGAUAAGUGUUUCUCUGAAGCACAUGAAAUAUAAGAUUAAGUGUAUCUCUUUCCUUACACAAUGGACUCAUUAAUUCAACCUAAAUUUCUUUUCAACCAAUAAAAAAAAACUAUUCUUGUAAGUAAGAAUCACAAGUUUUUCUCAAGAUUGUAAUGAGACUUAGCUUUCAACAAAAUUUCAAUUUUCAAGAAUAUAAUUAGUUAUAAGAGUUGAGAGAAUACAAUUCAAAAUCAAGUUUUUUUUCUCUCUCAUUAGUGUCUCCGUGUGUAACUAAUAACAUUAAACACCUCAUUCUCAUGUACCUUAAAUCAUGCGUUUACAUUUAAGGAUAUGUCGCUAAAGCGAGUCAUUAUCGUUUAAGCAAUCCAUCUUUACUAAAUAGAUAAAAAAAGUCUAUCACUCAAUCUAUAAACACAUCACUUGAUUGAUACCUCAUUAUUUGAGCAAAUUCAUAUCACUUAAACUUCAAAGAAGAAAAAAUUAGUUUGACAUCUCCCUUGAAUGAGCAUCCAAAUCUCAAUGGAGAGAAAAUUAACACUGACUCUCAUUUCCGUAAGCAUUAUACUAUCCCUCAAGUGAUCCCUCAAGUGAUGCAACUUCAAGCAUCAAGCCACCACUUCAAAAUUCUAUCUCAAAUCUCAUGCUCUUUAUUAUUUGAACAAUAAAUCUUUAAAAAAAACUUAUUUUAGAAUCUGCUCAAACUUCAAGUUAUGAUUUGAACGAAUAGUUGUAUAACUUAAGCAUCCAAUUAAAUACUUAAAUAAUAAUAUUUUGUUAUAAAAAAAUAUCACUACUUAUGUGUCAUCACAUUUUCCUUUUGAUAUUAUGAAAAUAUUCUCAUUAACAUAUGUUUUUCGAAAAACGAUAACUUUGCACUCAACCGAUAUUUAUAGAAAACUAGAUUUUUCAUAACAAAAAAUGUUUCUAAGUACCAAAAACUAAUUGUAACACCCCAAAAUUUACAUAUAACUAUUAAAUAAAAGUUCUACCAAUUUCUAUACAAACUUGGAGUUUUUCAAAACAUUCCUAAUACACGAUUAGGAUUUAUAGAAAUACAAAUAUUUACAUAUCCAUUGCUCAAAAUAAAAUUCAGAAACCUCUAAGGCUCUCCUGCACCUGUAUGGUCAUCUACUCGUGUACAUAGUACAGUCAUCGCUGUUUAAACACAACACAAAAAGCAAGGGUAAACUAGUGAAAAUAGAAUUUUAUAAUAUACACACUUAAAUCCAAAAAGAAAACCACAUUACAUGACCAAUUUCUCAAAUUAUUCAAUUUUCUUCAAAUUUCAACAAUGAAACAAUCACAUAGAUCUCACAUGGAUCUACACAUCCAAAAUAUUCAACAAACAACGUCUUUCGGAAGACCCGUAUCAAGUAAGUCCUACCAGAGACUAACACUUGAUCCAAAGAUUACUAGCGAAUCCAACAGAAAGGAUCAGGGUAAGUUCAAUACAACCCAAGCCGUGCAUCUCAUAUGUCACGGUGUGCAUGAACUCCCCCAUUAGCUUCUCACCACCUGAUAUCUUAGUCUAUGUGACUUAGAUCAUCAGGGAAGCUCGGAGAUCUCUCUUACCACAUAGACAUCAAUACUUAAUACACAGCAAACACCAGUCCAUACAUUAUCCCGACAUCAAUACUUAAUACACAGCGAACAUCAGUCCAUACAUUAUCCCAAAUGUAUGAAUUCAAUUUCACACCAUUUCAUCAUACAAUAUCAUUCCAAACACGAUCCACAACAUUCAAAAGCGUAAUUAACAUAAAAAAAACACCUUAAAUAUUAAACCAUCAAAAUCUAAUAUUUUUACAAAUUUAAAUGAUAUAUAAACAAACAACAGCCCUGCAAGAGAAAUUGAAUAUUGGGACCACGUCCCUUCCGCAUUCAGAUCUUCUAUCCUAGGGUGCUAUUAAAAAUUAAAUUUAGCUUCACUUACCUUAAUUGUUUGCUUUCCAAGCAACUUCUAGAAUUUUAUUUCCCACAGUCUGGAUAAACUUCAAGAUUUACGGCCUAAUGCAAGUUAUCCAAACAGAACAAAAUUCAGUAUAUAAUAGAAUAAGUUGAGAGGAUUAAACUUCUCAACUGACCCCACCAAUAUUGAUGACUAAAUCCUAAGGAAAAACAGAGAACAAAAGAUAUUUAGAGUAAAAAUGAACUUACUUUGUUUGAAAAUCUGAUCGGAUAGAAAUGUAGUCUGACUCCCCAUCUACAAUAUGACAUGAUCAGAUUUUGGAAUAGAUGAUGUAUGGGAGAAAAAAUGAAGAGAGAAGGGAGAGGAGAGAAGUUAAUAGAGAGAGAAAGCAUGAAAAAAAGAAAAGAGGAAAAUGAUGGGGCAGGGGGCUGCUGCUUUUUUUAUUUACGGGGGAUUACAUUAUACACAGUUUCUAAUGAUUUUUACACUACUUCAUUUAUUCUCAAUUUGAUUAGCUAAACCCAAAGUUAUAUUUAAGAACAUUUAUAUACAAAUCUCUAACUAAUUCAAAUCAAUGUGUAGAGCUCUCAAUAGCACCAAAUCAUAUUUUUAUUGAUUUAUAAUUACCAACACUGUCAACAAUAAAAGACUUUAUUCAGCUAACUCCCUUUAACUUUUGCUUUGCUACAAAACAAAACAACGUCAUCUCCUAAAAGUUUCCCAACUCAACAAAGAAAAUCUCCGAAACUUGAUCCUAUAAAAAAUUAACACAUUUACUUCGUCGUAUCAAUAAAAAAUCGGUUGAUUUGGAUAAAUGAAGUAUAAAAUCACACAUACUAAAAAAAAAGAGAUAAAAUCCAUUAUAAGAGAAGAAAGAACUUAGAUUUAAUUAGUCUAUCUUGAUUUCUCCUUCGUUAACUCCUCAAACACGUAAUAUAAUCUUAGAAAUGAUAGACAAUCAAAACUGAUUGAAACUUAAAGAAAAAAAAAAGUUUAAGUUUUUAGAGAUUUGAAGUUUAUAAAAACAAAGAAUGACCUAUUUUAAAUUUAUUUUAAAAUAUUAAAAAAACAUUUUACUUUAAACUUAAUCUUCUAAAGUCAAUUAAAUUGAGUCUUACAAUGGGAACAAGUAAAUGCUUUAAAAUAUAGUUUUAACAUAAUUGUAAACUUAAUUUUAACAUAAUUGUGAACUUUUUGAAAUCAAUUUAAAUUAAAGAAGAAACAAAAGAAAAAUUAAUUUUAAAAUCUAAAGUUGGUUGACUUUUCUUUGAAACAUGUGACAAAUUACAACUAGAGAUAAUCCAAAAACAAAAUCCUAAAAUACUAGUAUAUAAAAAUGAUCUCUUAAUUGUAGAUGUUGUUCUUAAGCACCAUACUUUUGUGUAAUACCUCUUUGUAAAAUUGAAACAAAAAUUUUAAGUUCAAAUUAAAAAAUAAAAGUAUUUAGUCUUUUAGUAUUUGGCACGUUUGUUUAUUAAAACAGAAAAUUGAAAUUAAUAUUCAAUUAACCUUAGCAUGGACUCUUUUAUCUUUUCUCCUAUUAAGGUUAUUUUUCUUUCUUUUAAUAAAUGCAAGCAAAUGACAAUUAUUUAAAGACCAAACACCUGAACAAUUAAUGAUAUUGAAACAAAAUUAAGAAAUUAAUUAUUAUUUUUACUAAAACUGCCUUUUUAUAUUAAAAACGAAAUAUGUAUCUAUAUUGAAUCCACUAUUUAUUUAUUUUUAAUGAGAUUAUAUUGUAUUGUAUAAGCAGAGCUAUCUUACUUUUUUAUAUUUAAAUUACAGAAUUUUUCAUAUUUAAACAAACCCAUACAACACAAGAAUAUUAUAUUCAGUUGAUCAUAACCGAGAGCACAUUUUUAAGAAUAAUCAUAAAUUUUUUUUAUAUAUGUAAAAGAAUCUUAAAUUAGUAUAAAAUAUAAAAACAACGAUCUUUUAUUUAAUACGUUUUUACGGUCAAACACUGUCGUCCAAAAUACAGUGACAUUUUUUAAAUUAACUUCAUUUAAGAGUGCGGCUAUUUGUUAAGAAUGCGAUUUUACCUAAUAGUCGCAUUUUAAAAAUAUUUUUUAACCUAACACUAAAGCGCACCACUUACACUUUUAUACUUCUUUUCUUCUUUGACGCUUCGUUUUCUCUUCUCUUUCUGCUCUCGUGCUUCCUCACGUACGUCUUCCUUGAACUUGCAUUGUCUUCUUCAUGCCAUUGAUAAGUUCGUUUUCGAGCUCUCUACUUCUUCUUCACCAUUGGUUUAUGUAUUUUUUUAGUUUCUCUUAUUUGUUUGUUUUCUGCCAUUACUUGAAGGUCACCAUUGUUUCAUUGUCACACUGUUGUUUGAAUUUUUGUUGUGCCGUAUUUGUUUUGUCCCUGCUGUCGCCGCCGCCGUUGGUGUCAGUCCCGCGCCACUCUUCACCAUCACGGUUGCCUUCACGCACAAGGUUGGUGGUGUUUUAAAUUUUUAAAUUUUUUUUCAUGUUAUUAAUUUGUUUAUUUUUUAUUUAUUAUAAUUAGUAUUUUUUAAAAUUUAUAUUAUUUUUGUUUUUAGGUUAGAAUAUAAUUAUUAAAUUAUUAGAUGAUAGAUAGAUUUAUAUUAUUUAAUAUUUAUAAUUAAUUUAAUGAUUUUUAAUUUGAAUGUGUUGGUAUUGACCCUCGGCAAUUGAUACGUACUGGUAUUGAGUCUAGGGGUGUUCAACCCUUGACAAACGUGAGAUAGAACACUCAUUAGUAAACACAUGAAUGACUAUUACAGACAAUAAUGAAUCGAAAUUGGAUUAAAUUUUCGCAUAAGUGAUGAGUAUGAAAGAGGAGUAGAAGAAUUUAUACAAUUUGUGCAAAGUGAUGUGAAUAAUAGUAGUCAUGAUGGAGCAAAGAUUAGGUGUUCGUGCAUUAACUAUUUAAAUGGAAGGAUACUGGAUAUUAAGAAAAUCAGGAAGUACCUUCUAUGUGAUGGGCUUCUUCGAUCUCAUACAACUUGGAUAGGCCACUGUACACAUACAUGUCAGAUUUGUUAGAAUUUAUAGUUGGGGAUCUUGAACUUAAUAUAAAUAUAAUUCAAUUUUGUAUGAUGUCAGUAUCUUUACCUAUAUUUCAAUUUACUUUAUGUUAAAUUAUUAUUGAUUAUGCUUUAACUAAUAACUUGUAGGUUUUUGCAUGAAGUUUCUAUCACUGAUGGGAAUGAAGAUGUGUAUGGAUUCUUAGAUCCCUCAUAUACUAAUCCCACUGGAAUAAAGAAAAUUGAAACUCAAUCAUACAUCACUAACACCCUGGAAAAAGAAGGGAAACAAAUUUAUUUAUGCUUUAUAUUAAUGAGUAAGUUUAAUUAUAAGUCGUCUAUUAUUUCAUGUUUUAAAUAUUUACUAACUCUUUUCAUGGAUGAUAUAGGGGUCAUUGGAAAUUACUUGUCUUAUUAACAGUUGAUAAGACUGUUGUGUGAUUUUGUUCCCUACACAAGAAGUCAUUCACACAUCUGAAGAAUGUCAUUUAUAAGUAAGUACACUAUAAACUUAACUUUGUAUGUUACUAAUUAAGCAUCUACUAAUGCGGUUUUUUGUAUUAAUCAGUUCAUGGCAUGGAUAUAACAUCCUAAAAGGUCGAUCUAAUUCAAAUUUUCAAAAUUUGAAGUGGAUGACAUUAAAGGUUUGUAAUUUCUGUCUUUCUCUUUUCAUUGUUUAUCAAUAUUAACUUUUAUUUUUAUUGAAUUAUAGUGUAAUUGACAAUCAGGAAGCUAUGAGUGUUGCUAUUACGUUAUGUAAUGGAUGAUUACCAUUGUAAGACUAGGCCUUAAAAGUGAUUGGGAUUAGGUAACAUGAUGGUAAAUUAUUUUUAUAAUUCUUUAACAUAUAUGUAUCUUAACACUAAUAAUUGUGUGAACCUUAUUUUGUAAUGCGGUUCUUCACGAAUGAGCAAGCAAUGACUUCGAAAGUUAUAGCAUAUGUGAGACAUUCUUGGUCCACAUAUUUCCUAAAUUUUUAUAACUCUAUGAUAGCUUAUGAAUAGUGUGGGAAAUAGAUAAAUAGAUUGGGAUUAGAUAGAUAGAUAUAUUAUUAGUGUUUGUAAUACACUUUUAUCAACAUCUAUAAUUUGAUUCUUUGAAUUUAUGUAUUUUUCUGGUUGUGUUAUAAUUGAACAGGUCAAUUUAGAUGGGAAUUAUCAUUAAACAUAAUGUACUAACAAAAUUAACGAUAUACAACAACAACUAUUUACUAUAUAUGCAUUCUUAUAUGCAGCGCAAAGAUUUACAAAGGCAACUAUGGUAAAUAGCCGCAUUCUUAAAUGCUAUUUAUAAGUGCAACUAUGGUAAAUAGCUGCAUUCUUAAAUGCAUAACACAUCUCUUUUAUAAAUCAUUCUGAAGCAUAUAAGAAUGCGGUUAUUUACCAUAGUCGCCCUUAUAAAUCGCAUUUAAGAAUGCGGCUAAAUAGUCACCUUCUUAUAUGUUUGACAUAAGACUACGUGUACAUCAAAUGCGACUAGAAAGUCAUCGUUGUAAAGUGAAAAUAUCCGCCCUCUUUUUCUUGACUUCUAUGAGAUAAUAGAAGAACCAAGAAAAAUUCAAUACAUCUCUCAGUUGUUUGACAACCUCCCCAAUCUGAGUCGCAAUAAGUUGUCAAUGUCAGAUGGUUCUUGGAUGACAAUAGUAAUCCUUGUUCAGGUGAUCCUUUGAUGUUUUUUAGGACUCAAAUUGCGGCAUCCCAAUGAGAUUUUCGUGGAACCGGUAUAUAUUGACUUAAACACUAUGUCAGGCCGAGUAACCGUGAGGUAUAUUAAUUAUCAGUCGUCCCACAAGUUGCCUGUAUUUGACUGGAUCCUUUAAUAACUCUCCAUCGUUUGAGUGUGAGUUUUAGGUAUUGCUCCAUUAGAAAUUUGUCUAGACGAUCACCUGUGAGUCCCGUAUCCUGCAAAAUAUCAAGCACAUAUUUUCUUUGUGACAUGUAAAUACUAGCUUUGGAACGGAAAAUAUUCAAUCCCUAGAAAAUAUUUUAAGUCUUCAAGAUCUUUAAUGCGAAAUCGUCGUAAUAGACCAUCUUUAAGACGCUGCAUUUUUGUCAGAUCAUUCAUUUCCUGUCAAAAGAAUAUCGUCCACAUAAAUCGAGAGGACAUUAAAUGAUGAGUUAUUUUGUCUUGUGAAUAAAGAGUAGUCCACCUUGGACUAUUGAAAUACUGGAGAUUUAAUCACAUGAGAAAAUGUUGAAAACCAUCUCUGGACCAUGUCCGGAGGCUUGUCUGUCGAUGAUGCCUAGGUGACAAGUCCAUGUAAAUAAGUUCGUGCAAUUUGCCAUGUAAGAAGGCCUUUUGCACAUCCAGCUGGUGAAUAAACCAAUUUUUGGUUGUUGCAAUGGUGAGGAGACACCUCAAAGUUGUUAAUUUUGAUGUUGGUGAAAAAGUUUCGCAAUAAUCAACACCUUCAAUAUGAGUGUACCCUUUUGUAAUAAGGUGCGGCUUAUAUCUUUCGACGUUGUCAUCCGAUUUGUACUUUCAUCUUAUAGGUUUCUGCCCGGCGGGUAACUGAAGAAAAUCAUGAAUUUUGAAAGAAAAUGAUGCAUAAGAUACCUAGUUCCAUUCGACUAAUAUUGGAUAGUGGUUGAAUGAUUGACUUGGGAUCCCGUUACGUAGUCUUGAAGUCAAAAAAGUGAAGUUAUUGUCUCCACUAAUCAUGAGAUUCUAUCAUUAUUAAAUUAAUUGCAUAUAAUUACGUAUAAUUGCGUAUAAUUUGAUAAUCCUUAUUUCUUUUAAUAAAUGAGAUUAUUUUAUUAUUUUAAUUGAUGUAUGUAUUUCUAUUUUGAAAAAUUUUAUUUCUGGCAGGAUUAUCCACUCUCACCCGUCAAAUAUAUUAUGAAUCUAAGUUUUAAUGAAAUCAACAUUUGGCGAUCCAUGGAGGUAUGGAGGUAUUGAAGAACAUGAAAUUUAAAAAACUUAAUUAAUGAUUUGCUUGGGAGAGAGAAAUCAUGACAUUUUGAAGUCUUUAAAUGUGAUUAUUUAGCCAAAGUUCAUAUAUAUAUUUGCAUAAAUUUAGUUAAUUCCCCUUACAUCUUUCAGGUUUAUAAAAAUACAUCUGUUUUUUAACGUUCUUUUGGUUUUCAGCAAUUUACCUGCGGUCAAGGUAUUGGAGGUGUGGAAUAAAUAUGUGUUGUUUCUAUAUGAUGUGUGCAGAAAUGCACAUAUUUAAAUGAGGUGACGGUGGAAUAUUUACUCUCCUCAUGAGCACAAAGUAGGAGAAAUCUAUAAAUAAUAUUGCAUAAACUAAUGUCAAAGGAAAUUCUCCAUAUAUCAUCACAAAAGAAAUUGAGAAAAAAAUAUCCAACAUCCUCCCUUAAUUAUGAUUUGGAACAACCUUCCCAAUUUGAGUCAUGAUAUUGUUUUUCUCAAUCAAAUUUUCAUUCAUAGCCUUUUGCCAUUUGGGGUGUUGAAUGACAUCAUCAAGUCUCACAGGUUAUGAUUCUGCAAGAAAAGCAAAGUGAACAAAAUCUCCAUUGUCGUCAACUUCAUCAUCAAGAUUUACUUCACAAUCUUGAAGAUGUACAGGUUGUCGAUGUUGCCUUCUUGGUCACUCCAUCAUAGUUGCAAUUGGAGUUGCAACUUCAGGUUGAAUUACAACUUCAGGUUGAACUGCAGGUGCUUCAAGAGUGACUUCAUCUUCCACAUCAUCGUUCAAAACGUAAAUAUAUCAUUUUUUUUAAUCCAUUUCAACUGCUGCAUUUCAUUGUCAUUCCUCAUCUUCGGCAAAUGUAACAUCACGACUAACAAUCACCUUCUUUGUUAUUGGAUUGUACAAUUUGUAUCCCCCAUGCUUAUAUCCAAUGAAAAUGGUUUUCCCUGCCUUAUCAUCCAACUUUGAUCUUGCUGCCUUGGGAACAUGAGCAUAAGUAAUUGACCCAAAUACCUUCAAGUGUUGCACAUUGGGUUUGAAUCCACUUCAUGCCUCAAUCGGAGUUGUGUUAGGAACACUCUGAGUGGGUGAUCUGUUUAUCAAAUAUACCGCACAUGUUACGGCCUCAGCCCAAAAAUAAUUUGGCAUACCUUUCGCUUUAAGCAUGCUCCUCGCCAUGCCCAUGAUUGUUUUAUUCCUUCUCUCAGCAACUUCGUUGUGUUGAGGUGUGUAGGAACAAGUUAUGUUAUGUUGCAACCCAAGUUCUUCACAAUGCCUCUUGAAUUCAUUAGACUUGUACUCACCUCCUCCAUCACUACGCACCAUCUUAAUUUGUCUGUCACUCUGCCUUUCAACAAAUGCUUUAAAUAUUUUAAAGUUAUGGAAUACCUCAUCCUUGUUUUUCAAUACAUAAAUCCAGGUUUUCCUUGAAAAAUCAUCAAUAAAGGUUAACAAAUACUUAUUACCUCCAACUGAUGAUAUGUUCAUUGGGCCACAAACAUUUGUAUGAACAAGCUCCAAAGGAAAUUUUGCACGCCAAGGCUCCUUAACAAAUGGCAUACUGUGAUUCUUUCCAAAAAUGCAAGCCUCACACAAUUGAUCAGGGUGAUGAAUAUGAGAUAAACCAUUUACUAAAUUUCAUUUUGAGAGAUUUUCCAAACUCUGGAAAUUUAAGUGCCCAAAGCGUAAAUGUCAUAACCACGAUUCAUUAUUCACUAUUGCAUUCAAGCACUUGAAAUCACCCAUAUGAAUAUCUACUAGAAACAUGCGGUUUUUUGAUAAAAAGGAAUUAAGAAUCAAACUACCUUUUUUAUCAAAAAUUGAUAAUUUAUUUUCAACUAUGUGCAUCACAUAACCCUUCUCGGCCAGCUGUCCCAUACUCAACAAAUUACUUUUCAUAUCAAGUACAUAGAAAACAUCAUAGAUGUACCUGUGAUCACCAUUCUUCAAUGUGAUAAGAAUUCGCCAUUCUCCAGUGACCGGAACGAACCUGCCAUCACCGAAUUUCACUUUUGUGCGAAAUGAGUCAUCCAAAUCUGCAAAUAGCUCCUUCUGACCACACAUAUGAUUCGUGCAACCUGUAUCCAAAUACCAAGUCUGGUUGUUUGGAGUUUCAUUUGAUGUGGUUGUCAUUAAUACUUCAUGAUCAUCUUCAUCUUGUUCGUGAUUACUAUCUUCUUGAGCACAAUUGGAAGCAUGAUUAUCACCUUUUGAUCUGCACUCAUUUGCAUAAUGGCCACGUUUAUGGCAAUUAUAACACUCAACAUUUGAUUUAUUAUAAAUGUCUCCUCGUCCUUUGCAACCACGUUCCCCUCGCCAAGCGCCUCCAUGAUUCUGGCCACCACGACCUUUGCUGAAAUAGCUACCAUGUUUAUGAUAUGAGCUACCAAUUGAGGCUUGUGUUUGUAAAGCCUGUUCAAUUGGUUUUUCAAUCUUAUUGUCNNNNNNNNNNNNNNNNNNNNNNNNNNNNNNNNNNNNNNNNNNNNNNNNNNNNNNNNNNNNNNNNNNNNNNNNNNNNNNNNNNNNNNNNNNNNNNNNNNNNAAAUAAAUAUUAUUAAAUAUAGAUUAUAUUUUGGAUUUAAUAAUUUAUAUUGAUGUAAAUUUACCUUUAAUUACAACAUAAUUCUUAAAAUAUUACUUGAAAGUUAUUAAAUAUAAUUUUUUUCAAAAAUAAAAAAUAAUUACUUUUUAUUUUAAUUAAAUUAAAUAUUAUUUUAAAAACUAAAAAUAUUAUUAUAUCUAAAUUAGUUUAUAUUGAUAAAUAAUUUUAAAAUUUGUAUUAAUUACCUAGAUUUUAACUAUCAAUUAUUCAAAUUUUAAAGUUUAUAUAUAACUAAUUAAAUAUCAAUUUAAAAAAUAUUUAUGAAUAAUAAAAAUUAAUUUAGAUACUAUUUAUUUUUUUUUAGUAUCUAAAUAUAAUAAUUAAUUAUUUUUCCUUAUUAAAAUUAGUUUCUAUUUAAUUAAUUUUAAAUAAAUUUACUUUUAAUUAUAUUAUAAUUGUUGAAAUAUAUCUAUCUUGAUUCAGUGACAGUGGUAGCUCUUAGACUAAGUCAAGUCGUGGUCUUUUUAUCUUUGUUCUUUUGUAUGUUUAAUUAACUACUAAUAUUUAUUUUAAAUAACUAAAAUAGAUAAUUAAUAAAUAUUUUUAACGUAUGUUUUUUACUGUAUGAUAAAUUAAUGAAAAAUAUAAUUUUUUAAAAAUAUAUGAAUUAAAUUUUAUAUUCUUAGUUUAUAAUAUUAUACAAUUUUAUUUUAUUAAUUAUAACAUAAUUAUGCUGAAUUAGGUCUAUUUUGGAUUCCACUUUCCGCUAUAAGUUGACGUCAAGUCAUCCUUCUUUACUUGAUUUUAGGUUUAUAAAUAAUUUAUAUGAUGUAAAAAAUUAUUUUUAGUUCUAACAUAAUUAUUGAGAAAUAUCUAUUUUGGGUUCUACUCGGAGGUGACUAUCACCUAGUCAAGUUUUCUUUCUUAAAUAUUACUUAUAUUUUAGUAUAAAUAUAACAAUAUUUAUCCAUAUUAUUAAAAUUAAAUAAGUAUUUUAAUGUAUAAAUGAUAUUAAAAAUUAAAUUUUAUAGUAAACAAAAUAUUUUAUUAUUAAAAAAAAUAGAUAAUUGUAUGAUGAGUAUUUAUGUUGAUUUAAUCUUAAAAAUUAUAUGGAUAUUUAAUUUAAAAAUAAAACGAAACAGAUUAAAUUGAAAAAUAUAAAAUGAAAAAAUAUUAAAAUAAAUCUGGAGGAAUAAUAAAUUGGAUGGUUGAUAAGAUGAAGCGUGGUGAAUGGGGAAUUAAGUGCGUGAAGGAGUUGGCGGUUUCGUAUUUAAAUAGUUGAUGAGAUGAAGAUGAAGAUGAAGAUGAAGAGUGUGACACUGUUUUUCCUCUUUCUCCUUUUAUUGGAAGCCCUUUGGUGUGAAGGAUGUUUGAAGGAAGAGAGAGAAGCACUUUCCGGCUUAUAUUCCCGUUUGGGCAAUCCUUUAAUUGGGGACGUGGACACAGAUUGUUGUCAAUGGGGAGGAGUGGAAUGCAACUCCUCCACAGGGAGGGUGGCCGGACUCGAUAUCUUCAUGUGGGAUUCAAUCUCACAACACUAUAUUAAUUGCUCGGAUUUUUCUGUCUUCAUAGAUUUGAAGAACCUCUCCUUCAUAGGUAGGUUGUGUGGGGGUGAAGGUAUGAAUCACUCAAACUUUAUUUCUCUUUACUUACUAUUUUACAUUACUUUACAUACUUUCCAGGCUUGCCAAAUCUGGAGCUCUUUCCGAUCAAGAACCUGCUGGACAACUUCAAUAAACAUUCUUCAUUCCACGGUGAGACUACCUAUUAGUCUUUCUUAUUCUAAUAAAUCACAAUAAUCAUAUUUCUCACUUUAUGUUUUAAUAAUAUAUUUUCACAUUUUCUUCGUUUCUUUCACAAUUUUUUGAUUAUAUUCAAUACAUGUACAUAUAUAAGUUUUCGAAACUCUGUCAUCAAAGCUGCCUAAUCUGGAGGUCCUUCGCAUAAGUGGGAUCUAUUUAACCAAUCACAUCUUGCCAUCCCUCGAAGAAUUCACAUCUUUAAAGAUACUGAGUUUGCAGGAUACUGGAUUGGAUUCGGAUCUUCACAUAGAAGGUACGUAUAGCAUUUUUUAUUUUUUUAUCUCUCAUUAAAUAAAAAUUAAUUUUAAAAAAAAUUAAUUAUUAUAAAAACUAUUCAUCAAUAAUAUAAACUAAUUUAAAAAUUAAUAAUUUUUUAAUUUUUAAAAUAAUCUUUAAUUUAAUUAUUAUAAUAAUUAAUUAUUUUUAGUAUCUAAAAUUAGUUUCUGCAAAUUUUCCUGAAAGUACGAAUAGGAUUAAACUUUUCCAUUUCAUUAAUAAAGAGGAGCUAUGGGAAUUUACGGAGGAUAUAUUCUUUGCAGCUUUAUGCUCAAAAUUGAGGAAUCUUGAGGUCCUUGACUUGUCAUACAACAACUUUAACCACACUGAUAUUGGGUCUGCUCUUAGUGGACUCUCAUCCCUCAACUCCUUAUAUUUAGAAAACAGUGGAUUGACUUGGAGAUCAAUUUUAAGUAUGUCUCAUAUAGAAAUCUUCAUUAUUUGUUUUUUUAUUACAAAUUAUAUCUAAUUCUCUAUAAUCGGAAUAUUCUAUUGUUAGAUAUUUCAAAAUUGAGUUCCUUGGAGAUUCUUAACUUAGAUGAUAACGGGUUGAAUAACUCUAAGAGUAUCUUCUGGCAUAUAAAAGGUUAGUUGUGAGUAUAAAAGGUUAGUUGUGAUUGAUAUUGGAUAAUAUUUUAUUUAUGUUUCUUGUUCUUAUUAUUUGAUACUUUCAAUUUUGUUUAACAGAUAAAGAUGAAUUUAAAUGGCCAAUCAAUUUACAAAAGUUAUGGCUGAAUUACAACAACUUGGCAGACGAAUUUCUCCCAUCUCUAAGUGGUCUUCCACUUCUCAAAUCUCUUCAUUUAAAGGCCAAUCAACUAAAAGUAACACUAGAUAUCAACGGUCAGUAUUUCUAUAGAAUAUGUUUAAAAUAUUAAAAAAAAUAUUUCUAGAUAUUAUAUUCUAAUAUUUUUAAAUUAUUAUAAUAUUAAACGAUUUGUUAGAAUCAAUAAUUUAAUCAGGAGUCUAAAAAACUAUACAGUCAAUUACAAAAUCAUAAUUAAUUUAAUAUUAAGAUAAUUAAUAUUAAAAAUCUCCACAAAUUUAUAUUCUAAAAUAUUGUAAAAAAACAACACUCGAUGUAUUACACUUAUUUUUUAACUGUCCUGUCAUUGUUUCUUUGCCAAGUAAUUCUUAGAAAAAUUGGAACUCUUUAAAGACUAUGAUUUCUUACUAUGAUUUUUAGUUUAAUUUUUACUAAUAAGUUACUUUCAAGUUAUUUAUAAAUUCCCACACUAAGAAUUUAGAUGUUUAAAAUCUACUGAAAAUUUCUUCCAUAAAACUAAGUGAGAUUCAGACCACUUAUUCUAGAAAAAACAGCUUUUUUCAGACCAAUAUUUUGUUUACUUUAUUCAAAUUUAUUUUACUAUUAUUAAAAAAUAAAUCACGCUUUUAAAGUUUUAAAAAAUAAUAAUAAUUACUAUUGGUCCUUUGUUUUUAAAUUUGAAUAAAUUUAAAAUAGUAGUAAUUUUUUAUUGGAAGAUAAGUUUUUAAACUAUUUUUUAAUUGAUUCAAGAUGUGAAAUUUGUUCUAUUAGAUUAAUUUACAUGAAAAAUUACAGAAUCCAAUUUAUAUUAAGAUAAUGAAUAGUGGUAAUUAUAUAAAAAUCACAUGAAAAUGCAUGGUUCAUAUUCUUAGUGAGUAGUGAUGAGUUCAGAUGCUUUAUUUAUCAGAGAAUGAUGGAUUUAAAUGGCCCACCAAUUUACAAGAGUUAUGGUUGAGUCACAACAACUUAAGCAACAAUUUUCUUUCAUGUCUGAGUGGUCUUCCACGUCUCCAAUCCCUUGAUUUAAGCUUCAAUCAACUAGAAGGAGCAAUAAAUAUAAGUGGUCAGUAUUUUUAUGUAUUUUUUCCGCUUUAUUAUAAUAUUUUAGAAUUAAGAUUAAUUAUUCACUUAGUUUGAAUAAUUGUACAAAUUUUAUCUUAUAGUUUAUAUUCUUAAAAUGUGAUGAUAUAUGUUUUGUAUAUCGAAAUUAUACAUAUAGUUUUAUUUCUUAAACUAAUAUAGUCUAAAGAUAUAAGAGGGAUUUACGUUUAUUAGUACAUUUAAGAUAUAUUUAUUAAUUUAUGAGAUGAAAAGAAAAUAAAUAAUCAAUUAUUUAUUAAAUUUUUUAAUUUUUAAAAAAUAAAAAUAAGCAACAAUUUCUCUUAAAAUAAAUUUAAUAAAUAAUUAGUUAUUUAUUUCCUUUUCAUCUCAUAAUUAAUAAAUAUAUCUUAAAUGCACUAAAUAAACGUAAAUCUCCUGUAUCUUUUUAACUAUACUAGUUUAAAUAAUAAAACUGUAUGCAUAACUUCUAUAUACAAAACAUAUAUCCAUCACAUUUUGAAAUCAAAGAUUUCUAAAACAAGAAAAUGUAAUAUAUAUAUAUAUAUAUAUCAAAUAAACCAUCUCUAUUUAUAAAGUUUUCAUGUUCUGAACUUACACUAAGAAUCCAACUCAACAUGAAAUACGUGAAUUAAUUAAUUUUGUUUACCUCUAUUUUAGCCUCUAAGAAAAUAUAUUAAUUUUGUUUACCUCUAUUUUAGUCUCUAAGAAAAGAUUUCACAACUAAACUAAGUUAGACGUAGCAAAGAUUAACCUAGUCGUGUUAGAUCUCACAUACAAGACUAAAAUGUACCUAAUGCAGACAACACUAAAAACGAUAGUUUUGAGAUUUGGGAUCUGAGAAAAAAAAUCUUACUCUAAAACAAAAUAGAUUAUUGUAAUCUCUAUUAUGUUCUAUAAGGUGACUUUUAAUUAAAAAAAAGUUGAAUAAUUGGGUUAGAAAUUUAGAGGAAAGAUAAAAAGAAUGUGAGAAAAAAUGUUCAAAGAAUUGUAAUCUUUAUUUUUUUUAAACCAUCCCCACAAAAAGAUCUUACAGUCAAUAUAUAAAAUCAUUACUCUUAUUUAUUAAGUUUAAUACAAUGUCAAUUAAGAAAAUCUAUUUAAUCAAUCAAGUAAUUAAAUAUCAUUGGUAUUUGAUUUUUAAGAUAAUUAAUAUUUCAAAAGUCCAUAAAUUACAACACACAACCAUUUGUAUUAUAAAACAAAGCAUUGCACUCUUAUAUAUACUAUUAAUUAAUAUAUAUUAUAAAACAUAUUUAUCGAUAACAAAAAUCAUUAAAAAUCCAAAAGAAUUUAUGAGUAAAUUCAAAUUAUGGAUAAAUUUUAAAAAUAUAGUCCAAAAUUUAAAAUUUAAAAAAUAAAUAAUCCAAAUAUAGUUCAAAUAAAGUUAAAAUACGAUCUAUUAAUUGAAUAAAUAGGUAUUAUAAAUGUGUUUUUAGUAGUUAUUUUUCAAAUCUUUGUUUCUUUAUCAAAUACUUAGUAAGAGUAUUCAUGUUGAAAAUGAUUUUUUACUAUCAUUUUUGCCUUUUUUUUUCCUUAAAAAAUGGUGGAAGUCAAACUGUGAGAGUUUAAUUUACAUUAACAAAGUCAACUUUUAGAGGUUCUAACAUCAUAGUUUUUGGAAGAAAAAAACUUUUGAUUAUUUAAAAGUAAACUAUUUUUUUAACGCGAAAUAAAUGAAUGUUAAUUGAUUUUGAUUAAUUUUUAUUUUUUCUCUUGCAGGAUUAUCAACUUUGAUAAAUUUGACGAAUCUUGAUCUAAGCUAUAAUAAUAUUCAUUAUUUUGUGGCCAAUCAAGGUAUUUAAGAAAAUUAAAAUUAAAAAAGAGGAAGAAAAUAUAUAUUAGAUAAAUUCAUGAUAUUGGCACGUUAAUUCCAUUAUUUCCUUGAAAUUCCUAUAUUCACAUUUUGCAUAAAAUAUAUUUGUCCCCUUCUUGGAGACAUAUUUACUCUAUUCCAUUUAGCAUAAUUAAAGUUUAUUUUACAUUUUUUAGUUAAUUAAAGUUACAUAUCUUUCAGACUCAAAAAGAGUAAGUAGAUUGGAAGCCCUUAAUUUAGAUGGAAAUAUGAUAGAUGGAAAAAAGCUAAGGGAGUCAUUACGAGCUUUAUCAUCAUCCAUGAAGGAGCUUCAAAUGUCUCACAAUCAUUUUAUAGGAACACUUUUAGCUGAAGGUAAAUAAUACAUAUGAUUUUCAUGAAAUAAAUUAAUUUUGUAGUUCUUACAUUAAGAUUCUUAUAAUUUUUUUUUAUUGGGCAGAUUUUCACGAUUUAAGUAAGCUAGAACUUUUGAAAUUGGAACAAAAUGAUAACAUGGAGAGUGAAUUUUUUAAAAGUAUUGGGAAUUUGACGUCCUUGAAAGUACUGUCUCUUUCAUAUUGUCAGAUAAAUGAUGCCCUUCCUGCUGCUACUGGUAAUUAUAUUAUUAUUCAGUGUUAUUUAUAACAUGUAUGUUUUAUUUAAUUUUUUCUUAAUUUUGUUAAAAUCUUUAUAUCCUUCUUGUUAUAACACUUGCAAGAUGUUUUCUUUUUUUCUUCAAAUUUUCAUUCAGAUUGGUUUAAGCUGAAGAAGUUGGAAGAGUUAAAUCUAAUACAAAAUGGAUUUGAAAGAUUUCUUCCCAAAUCUUUCAUUAACAUGACAUCUCUUCGGAAGUUGGAUCUUUCUCAAAAUCACUUCAUGGGAAAGUUUGAUUCUAACAUUGCAACCCUUACAUCACUGGAAUAUUUUGAUUUUACAAAAAACCAAUUUGAAGUACCUGUUUCAUUUACACCAUUUGCCAAUCAUUCACGCCUUAAGUUUGUCUAUGGUAAAGGCAACAAAGUCAAAUUGGACUCACAACACAGUUUGCAAACUUGGAUUCCG